Podarcis lilfordi (Lilford's wall lizard) is the source of this 70-nucleotide non-coding RNA. Lineage: Eukaryota; Metazoa; Chordata; Lepidosauria; Squamata; Lacertidae. The record is from the annotation of a GenBank genome assembly.
GGACCAUAGCUCAGUGGCAGAGUAUCUGCUUGUAUGCAGAAGGUCCCAGGUUCAAUUUGUGGCAUCUCCA